Myxocyprinus asiaticus (Chinese sucker) is the source of this 211-nucleotide small nucleolar RNA. RefSeq annotates it as small nucleolar RNA U3. The record is from RefSeq and is a predicted model, not a curated record. The transcript has a single exon. NCBI's taxonomy places the organism in Eukaryota, Metazoa, Chordata, Actinopteri, Cypriniformes, Catostomidae.
AAAACUACUUUCAGGGAUAAUUUCUAUAGUUAUUGAUUUGGAAAUGUGUUUCAAAAGUGUUUGUCUACCUACUCACGAUGGUGAGUAUUGAUGCUCCUUUCUGAGCAGAGAUCAGGCAUGGAGAUAUGGCUUUGAUCAUGGAUCUUUGGUGUUGAUAAUUGUUCUGUAUUGCUUUUGGCAACAGAGAGUAAAGGUGUGUGAUCAGAGUGGU